CCUACGGGUGGCAGCAGUGAGGAAUAUUGGUCAAUGGCCGAGAGGCUGAACCAGCCAAGUCGCGUGAGGGAAGACGGCCCUACGGGUUGUAAACCUCUUUUGUCGGGGAGCAAAGCGAACCACGUGUGGUUCAUUGAGAGUACCCGAAGAAAAAGCAUCGGCUAACUCCGUGCCAGCAGCCGCGGUAAUACGGGGGAUGCGAGCGUUAUCCGGAUUUAUUGGGUUUAAAGGGUGCGCAGACGGAGGUGCACAUCAGCGGUAAAAUUGCGGGGCUCAACCCCUUACUGCCGUUGAAACUGCAUCCCUUGAGUGCGCGAGAGGUAUGCGGAAUGCGUGGUGUAGCGGUGAAAUGCAUAGAUAUCACGAAGAACUCCGAUUGCGAAGGCAGCAUACCGGCGCGCAACUGACGCUCAUGCACGAAAGCGUGGGUAUCGAACAGGAUUAGAUACCCCAGUAGUC
Molecule: ribosomal RNA, 459 nt
Filed under: uncultured bacterium
Lineage: Bacteria
Description: partial 16S ribosomal RNA
Rfam family: Bacterial small subunit ribosomal RNA
Source: RNAcentral